UGGGGAAUAUUGCACAAUGGGCGAAAGCCUGAUGCAGCAACGCCGCGUGAGUGAAGAAGGUUUUCGGAUUGUAAAGCUCUGUCUUUGGGGACGAUAAUGACGGUACCCAAGGAGGAAGCCACGGCUAACUACGUGCCAGCAGCCGCGGUAAUACGUAGGUGGCGAGCGUUGUCCGGAAUUACUGGGCGUAAAGAGUGCGUAGGCGGAUAUUUAAGUGAGAUGUGAAAUACCCGGGCUUAACCCGGGCACUGCAUUUCAAACUGGAUAUCUAGAGUGCGGGAGAGGAGAAUGGAAUUCCUAGUGUAGCGGUGAAAUGCGUAGAGAUUAGGAAGAACACCAGUGGCGAAGGCGAUUCUCUGGACCGUAACUGACGCUGAGGCACGAAAGCGUGGGUAGCAAACAGGAUUAGAUACCCUGGUAGUCCACGCCGUAAACGAUGAGUACUAGGUGUAGGAGGUAUCGACCCCUUCUGUGCCGCAGUAAACACAAUAAGUACUCCGCCUGGGAAGUACGAUCGCAAGAUUA
This 525-nucleotide ribosomal RNA is filed under the name uncultured Clostridium sp. RNAcentral describes it as "bacterial SSU rRNA". It matches the Rfam family "Bacterial small subunit ribosomal RNA", at positions 355 to 896 of the family's 1533-position model. The record is from RNAcentral. Lineage: Bacteria; Bacillati; Bacillota; Clostridia; Eubacteriales; Clostridiaceae.